CGUAGGCUGUUAUAUAAGUCAGUGGUGAAAUAUUCGGGCUCAACCGGGGUACUGCCAUUGAUACUGUAUAGCUGGAAUAUGGUUGCUGUGGGUGGAAUGUGUGGUGUAGCGGUGAAAUGCAUAGAUAUCACACAGAAUAUCGAUUGCGAAGGCAACUCACAAAGCCAUUAUUGACGCUGAUGCACGAAAGUGUGGGGAUCAAACAGGAUUAGAUACCCUGGUAGUCCACACUGUAAACGAUGAUAACUAGCUGUCGGCGAUAGAUAGUCGGUGGCUAAGCGAAAGCGAUAAGUUAUCCACCUGGGGAGUACGACCGCAAGGUUGAAACUCAAAGGAAUUGACGGGGGCCCGCACAAGCGGAGGAACAUGUGGUUUAAUUCGAUGAUACGCGAGGAACCUUACCCGGGCUCGAACGGUGCAGGAAUAUGGUAGAGAUAUCAUAGCUAGCAAUAGUCUGUAUCGAGGUGCUGCAUGGUUGUCGUCAGCUCGUGCCGUGAGGUGUCGGCUUAAGUGCCAUAACGAGCGCAACCCUUGUCGUUAGUUACCAUCAAGUAAAGUUGGGGACUCUAGCGAGACUGCCACCGUAAGGUGUGAGGAAGGGGGGGAUGACGUCAAAUCAGCACGGCCCUUACGUCCGGGGCGACACACGUGUUACAAUGGUAGGUACAGAGGGGCGCUAUCCAGUGAUGGAGUGCGAAUCUCAAAAACCUAUCUCAGUUCGGAUUGGAGUCUGCAACUCGACUCCAUGAAGUUGGAUUCGCUAGUAAUCGCGCAUCAGCCAUGGCGCGGUGAAUACGUUCCCGGGCCUUGUACACACCGCCCGUCAAGCCAUGGAAGCCGGGGGUGCCUGAAGUUCGUGACCGCAAGGAGCGACCUAGGGCAAAACUGGUAACUGGGGCU
This 900-nucleotide ribosomal RNA is filed under the name uncultured Parabacteroides sp. Its description in RNAcentral is "bacterial SSU rRNA". It matches the Rfam family "Bacterial small subunit ribosomal RNA", at positions 570 to 1482 of the family's 1533-position model. Lineage: Bacteria; Pseudomonadati; Bacteroidota; Bacteroidia; Bacteroidales; Tannerellaceae. The record is from RNAcentral.